GCUUUUAUGCUUCAGGAGCACAGGGAGCUGCCUCAUACAUAGUCAGACCACUGGGUCAUAUGCCCCAAUAUUGUUCACUGGCCGACAGAAUGGUUUCUCCUGGCCCAACCUGGAUAUUCAUAGUAGUUUUCCCUUUGAAUACUGCCCAGAUCUGGGCUUUGUGAGCUUCUAAAAGCAGACAAGAUCAGAUGUCUGCAGAGUGGGAUUGUGAUUUCUCAUAAUUAAGAAUAGAGUUGCCAAAGACAAAAUUUCGGGGUGAUAGUGCUGCCUUGAAAAUGUGUGUACACAGGUUGGGUGUGCCUCAUUCAAAAUAUUUGGGACCAGAUUUAUUUUAUUUCAUUUUAUUUUAGAUUUUGGAAUGACUGCAUUUGCACAUAUCUAGAUAAUGAGGCAUCUUGGAGAUGGGAUCCAAGUCGAAACACAAAAUUCAUUUAUGUUUCAGACUAAUGUUAAUGUACCUUCAUAAGCCCUCAUUCAUAUAUAGUUUCAAGUUUAGGUUUGACUGAGGGAUCUAGUUCAGUGAGACAGAUCCAUAAACCUUUAAUUGUCCUGUGCCGACGGUCUCAAAUUAAUUCUCUAUCACCCACACUUUUCAGCUGCUUCAAAAUGCCCCAGUUUCUUUCUUCUGCUGCCAUCUUACCGCUUUGAUCUCACAUUACUUCAACUGCCGCAAACAAAAUGUAAAGAAUGUAAAGGGAAGAAGAGAUAGUGAAGUCUUGCCCGUCCCAGUGGGUUCAGUGAUGCUGUAACCCACCUUGAGCCAUGAGGAGAGGCAGACAAAGAGGAAUUUUCUGGAGUUCACAGCGCUGAAUAUUUCCAUAUGGAAUUUUUGACAUGUGCAAAGAAACUCCCCAAUGCUUCAAUUUGACUCGGGGCACAAGGAACAUCUCUGUACUGACCUUACGGGGGACAUGUUGAUUUGUUUCACAGAUUAUUAUUGGCCUUUGACUCUGAAGCAGCCACUUAAAAUCAACUUAGGUCAUAGAGAAGGACAAAAAUUGGCCAUAAAAUAAUGGCAUGCCAUCACCAGCUCUAGCAUCAAUUUAUGCCUUUAAAGAUGAGUAAGGAAGAACGAUUCAUGUGGUGAAAUCAAUAUCAUUUGUAAAAGAGGGAAAUAAAAACUCAUUGGAAGCUUGCCAGGGUGAAUUAGGAAUUCAGAUUGCAGUCCAUCUAAAUGUUUUCCACUGAAGAGAAGAAACUAAGGUUGCGAGUACUGCUUCCUGCUUCCAACAACUUCAUGCUGUCUAACAUGACAUAUGUGACUAAAAAACUCUGCAUGUGGUCAAGAAACCCUGAGUAUAGUCAAGAUAGCAAUAAGUAUAUAGAAACUAGCAGUUGUUUGCUUUUGCCUGAGUCUACAGGGAAGGAUAUGAUUCUGCCAGGAUAGAUUUGACAGCUAAAUCAGGUGUAAGAAUUCAAUACACAACUGGAGACUUGCCUCUUCCGGCAGGCCUAUCCAGUCAAUUUUAACUUGUGAAUUUUAAUCUGAAGUUUAUUGGUGUGGUCUUGUGUUUAUGUUGCUAUAUGUAUUUUAAUAAGUGUGUGUUUUAUCUCUGUUUCAGCUCUGUUGUACCCCAAAUGGACCCGCAAUUAUUAUUAUUAUUAUUAUUAUUAUUAUUAUUAUCAUCAUCAUUAUUAUUAUUCUCCUCUGCCCUUGCUGAGUUAACUGAGUGCAAACUACAUUUUAGGAACUAAAGUCAUUUGAGGGCUAAGGUUAAAAAUAAGAAGGGAACGAGGAACUGGAAGAUUUUGAAAGCAAGUGAAAUAGUAAGACGACAGGGGAUUAAUCUACACUAGGCAUGGGCAAACUUCAGCCCUCUAGGUGUUUUGGACUCCGACUCCCACAAUUCCUAACAGCCGGUAAGACCAAAAAAUAAGACACAAGAGUAAAGACAAAGAUCCAGACAGAGUAAAAGUAUUCUUACCAUACAUCAAGGAGCCGCCAGCGGCAUAGUGCGUUAAGCCCUUGUGCCGGCAGAACUGAUGGCUUGAAGGUUGGAUUGCUGACUUGAAGGUUACCAGUUUGAAUCCAACCUAGGGAGACCACGGAUGAGCUCCCUAUGUCAGCUCCAGCUCCAUGUGGGGACAUGAGAGAAGCCUCCCACAAGGGUGGCAAAAAUAUCAAAAACAUCCAGGUGUCUUCCUUGCAGACGGCCAAUUCACUCUCACCAGAAGCAACUUGCAAUUUCUCAAGUCACUCCUGACACGGAAAAACAAAAAACAUACAUCAAGGGAACCACUGACCGCAUAGGGAAGCUGAUGAUGAAACACAACCUACAAACUAUCUACAAACCCACUAAGAAAAUCCAAUAAAUGCUACGUUUAGCAAAGGACAAGAGGGAUCCUCUCACCUCUGCAUUAGUCUACUUUAUAACAUGCCGCUGUGGACAAGUUUACAUAGGGACCACCAAAUGCAGCAGCAUUGCCCAAACACGAAUCAAAGAACAUGAAAGGUGCUGCAGACUUAUCCAACCUGAGAAGUCAGCCAUAGCAGAGCACUUGAUGAAACAACCUGGACACAGCAUAUUAUUUGAGAACACAGAAAUGCUGGGCCACUCUAACAACCACCAUGUCAGAUUACACAAAAAUGAACAAAAUUUGGCUACCAGUAUUAAAAAAAACUAUAAAAUCAGGACAGUAAAUAAAGAACAACACUCAAAAACAGGGGAAUUCCAGACAAGAAACAAUUAGGGCCAGCAAAUCACCUCCCAACAAAAGAUUUCCCCAGGCAGGAAGCAGCCAGGUCUUGAAGCUGAAAGGCUAUUCAGUGCUAAUCAAGGUGGCCAAUUGCAACAUUCACACUUGCCUCAAACAGACAAGAGUUCUUUCUCCCACCCUGGACAUUCCACAGGUAUAUAAAGCCCACUUGCCUAGUUUCCAACAGACGUCACAACCUUUGAGGAUGCCUGCCAUAGAUGCGGGCGAAAUGUCAGGAGAGAAUGCUUCUGGAACAUUGCCGUACAGCCCAGAAAACUCACACAACCCACUUGUCUUUACCAUAUUACACAAAUGUAAUGUACUCAACAAAAUUCAAAAUAGGAGUAGGAGUAAGAAUUGUAUUUUGUAUUAUUUCUAUAUUGUAAGACGCUUUAAGCCUCAUUUAAAAGAGGAAAGUGGAACGACGACGACAACAACAACAAUAAAUGGGUUGGAUUUUU
Anolis carolinensis (green anole) is the source of this 3158-nucleotide long non-coding RNA. RefSeq lists it as uncharacterized. The transcript is spliced from 3 exons. Lineage: Eukaryota; Metazoa; Chordata; Lepidosauria; Squamata; Anolidae. The record is from RefSeq and is a predicted model, not a curated record.